Molecule: long non-coding RNA, 6886 nt
Organism: Cyanistes caeruleus (blue tit)
Lineage: Eukaryota; Metazoa; Chordata; Aves; Passeriformes; Paridae
Source: RefSeq, a predicted model, not a curated record
AAAUCCAAAUGGGGAUAAUCCGGCUGCGGCCGCAUGCCUCCCACAGCGGCCCGUUCUCCCAGUAACGCGAGGGUGAUGGGUUUGGCCUCGAACAGCGGCUGCCGUGGGGUUCCCCAGGCUCAGACCUGCGCCGGACCGAGACUGAUAAAUCUUUCAUGCACUCGCACAGUUUCUCUCAGCAGAGCAGAAUAAGAGGAUUUACACGGCAAGUUGUGUCUGAAGAACAGCAACUUCACUUAGAAAGAAAGGACCGUAACUCUCAGAGCUCUGCAGCUUGACAAGUCCUGAUCCUUUGCUGAAACAUGAAGGUUUGUCCUAGGAGUUCCCAAAAACUCCUCUUGGGAGCUGAGGACUUGCAAAGUGGCAGUGAGUUUCCAACCCCCUUCUUGCCACCAGCCUCCCAUCCCUCACACGAGCCCGGGCUCUUUCCCUGCUGCAGGAAACUCGCACAAGCGGACACAGGAGGAAAGGGGGAUGAAGCUGCUUUGAGAAGCACAAGAGGAGCUGGUGUGUUGUGAGGGAAGGAUGUGGCUGCUAAGCUUCUGCCAAAAGUGGAGUUUAAAAAAAGCUGCCGCACAAUCCUGGGACGACGUUUACGCAGGAACGGCGCAGGACAGCAGCAACUGGUUCCCAUCAAGCGGGGACUGGUUGUAUCUGCAAGUAUGAUCAAGCCAUCCUAACUGCAAGGUCUGGAAGGACUGGCUAGUGUGGUUUCUGAAAUUCACAUGGCAGCAGAAGACAAAAUCCAUUCUCCAGUCUUUAUUCGUGGGGUUUGGGGCAACAUAAACAGUAAUAAAGAGCAGGGAUGACUAAAAUAGGAAGGCUGGUUUUGCUGGCAUGACAGGAGCAAAAAUAGACAUAUUUUAUAAAUAAAGAUGUCCUGGAAAUCAGAGACUCCCAAGUUUCACGCUCACCAGUUCAGCUGUUCUGGCUGGGGGUCUUCUCCACCAGCAGUGCUCAAGGGAUUUGUGAAGGCAUAAAUGAACUGUAAUAUAAGCACAUGCAUGAAAUGCCCUUCGUGCAAACCAGCCCCAUUAGUUGAUCUACUUGUGGAUGUCAUUUCAACCCACAAGUUCUAGUUAAAUUAGGGCUGGGGGUUUGCUCAGAGUAGGUUAAAUCCAAUUAUUUGAAGAGAGCUGCACGUGUAUUUUCAUUAAGCCCGAGACUUCUGUAGGUGUUGUGGAAGAAAAGAAAUCAAAGUACACCAGUGUGACUUGAGAAAAGAAAGCUUUUGAGCUGACCUUCUUCCAGGAGAAUAAAUUCAUGUCUUCAGAAGUGAGCAAGUCUCACUUCAGUGAUCUUAUCUCAGAAGUAAAAAGGCAAUAAGAAAAUGAGAAGAGACGUGGAGGAGGGCGGUAAGGACAGUGGAAGUGAUGGGAUAGAUACCAUAUGAGGAGGAAAGACUAGAAAAACAAGGAGACUCCAGUUUGGAAGAACAAAACCUUGGGGCAAGUAAAGACAGAGAAAUCUGAAGGUGUCAAGAGAGGUCUGGUAUGGACGUGGAAUUCUUUUUCCCUUUUCUUCACAACACAAGAACAUGGAGAGAAAUGUUCAGGAGCCAGGUCUGAAGCAGACGAAAGGAAGUACUUUUGCACACAACACAUAAUUAUAUUGUGGAACUUAUUGCCACAGGAUGUCAUGGAGGCCAAAAGUAUAAAUGAAUGAGAAAAAAAACAACAGGGAUUACACAAAUUCAUGCAACCUCCGGCUUAGGAAGUCCCUCAACUGCUGAUUACCAGGAGCUGGGAGGAAAUGCCAGAGGAAGGAUCACUUUAUACUCUCCCUCUUCCAAUAUCCCUUCCUAAGCAUCUGCAGCUGGCCAAAGCCAGGCCCUAGUUGUUGCCCGAAGUGGAGGUUUAUUCUGAGGCAGUCUGACAAUGUUUAUAUCCUCCUGGCAACUCCCUCACAGAUGGAGCCUUAGGGAGCAGAGGCAUCUCCUGGUGAGGUACAGGACCGACCCCUAAUUUUGUUACCUGCAGCGGUCACAGCCACGUCCGUAGUGGCCACUCUUUGCUGAUUUAGGCUGGUGUAAUUGAGGCCAGAUUGAGCCCUGGAACCUUCAGAGAGACUCUUCCGCUUUCCCUGCCCCUGGGAUUAAGCACUGAAAUCUCUGUGCUAAAACCCUCUUUGAACGGGGAUGGCAGAUAAUGCGCAAACUGAUUAAAAAAAACCCCCAGCACUGGGGAAAGUUAAAUAUUAAAGAGCCAAGGCCCAGUUUUAACUGCUGCUGCCGUCCCUCCUUCAUCUCGUGCCAACUGCCUCCAGGAUACAUGUGCUGACACUGAAUCUCUACCUCACAAAAGCGGCCGCAGCAUGGGCUUUAGAACUCAGCCCAUUAAUACUGGGAUGGGAAGCAGAAAAAUAGAACAAAGACAGCGAGGGACUCCUCUGCUUCCCACUCUGACCAUGCCCGAUCCGUCCCUGCAGCAUCACAGGGCAUGGUACCCCUACCCCAGUGAGGCAUUUUGCCCCUUUGACUUCUCAACAUUAGUUGCUCUAAAAUAUUUUGCUGCCUGCUUUGCCCUGCUGUAACUAAAACUAUAAUUUUCACUAGCAGAGAAGAGGGAUUUGGGAGAAACAUCUGGUCUCAUUUCAUCAGGAUAACAGCUCUGUCUCUAUUUAUACACGCGCCAGGAUCGUUGUGGCUCUCAGCUGUUCUUCUCCCGACAGUCCCUUUCAAGCUGCCGUGUCCUGCUCUGUUGGGGCAGUCCCCGGGUUGAGGCCAACCUGCUGCCACAUGAAACAGGAACCAGGCCCAAAAAUGUGGGCUUGUGAGAGCUUGUCCCCUCCACACCUGGGGCUUGCUGUCUGCCAGGCUGGUGAUGAUGUGCCGUGAUGGAUGGUUGCUCCUGUCCUUGUAUCCUGCUGGGGAAAACUGGGAAAACCCAUCUGACUAGACAGUUUGCUGGAAACUGGAUGAUCUUUAAAGUCCCUUCUGACCCAAACCAUCCUGUGACUGGAAAAUCAUUUUCUUGGUAAAUCCAGAGACUUUGCUGGUCAGGGAUCAGCCCUGCAAUGAGUCAACCUUAUUGGUCUGAGUAUACCAACCUCAAUGGACUGAAUUUUUCUCCGAAAUCACAAUGUGGAUUUUGGGGGAAAGCUCAGACCAUUGAGGAAAGACCAGCUGAUUCUGACUUUUCUCUAAGGUGUUAGGAAAUAAACUGUGACCCUACAGAGACACGGGAAGGUCAGGGAGUCUGCUUGGGAAGGCAGCACGUCCUACUUAAUUCACCACAGUGGGAAAAAUCCGCUCUGCUGCCUCCCCUCCAGUGCUCACAAGACAUCACAUCUCAUCCAGCAUGUUUAAAAAAACCCCUCAAGUCAAAUGGCCAAGUACCUGGAAAAUUACCACGUAGCACAUUCAGCAGUGCAGCCGCCAUCUGAAAGGAGCGCUCAUAGCCUGGAUGAUGAUGGGGUGUGGGUCAGCAUUAAUCAUCUCAAGCAAGUCUAUCCCACUGCCCUGCUUUUCCCUUAACCAGGCUGUGCCUCUGCUCCCAUCCCGACCCUCUGAGAGCCCCUGACACACAGCUAUUUCAGCAUCACUUCCCCUCCUCUUUUCAGCAGCUCUGGACUUUGCAUUAAUUGUUUUCUUGCACUCAGCUGCUAAAGGAGGAACCGCUCAGAGACACGGGGGUUUUGUAACCCAGAAUGAGACCAGCGUUUUCUGAUGCUCCUAUUGAUUGUACUAAGGUUGCAAACUCCCUGGAGCAGGAUUGAAUUUCACCCUGCAUUUAUACCUUCUGAUGUGAUCCUGCCCCUUCCAUGUACUCCUUCAGAACACUAUUCUCAGCUGUGACCUGAGGUUCAGUAGAUCAAUAUUUGUUUACUCAGCUUGGGUCUAAUUUUCAUAUGCUCUGGGUAAUCCAAGUCCACCCAAAAGCAGCAGAAAGGGCCACUCCUGCCAAUUGCAUGAAUCAGACUGAAAUGUGGACCCUGCCUAAAACACCAGCCUUUGGAGCAACUCGAGGCAGGAAAUAUGACUCAAUCUUGGGAGAACAUCAUCCAAAUAUAGACCCUGCUGAUGCUGUGGACAGUUUGGGCCAAGGGGUCACCAACUGAACCCUUGUGAGCUCUUCACUUCCAUGACUUUUCUGACUGAGAAACGUUUUUCUUCCUCAUUUGAGUCACUCCUUUUGGGGCACAUCAAGUAUUUUUUGUAAAAUGUGUCAGAAGUGCACCAAACCAGCCAAGUUCUAUGUAAUUGCUGAGAAACAUUCUCUCAACCUAAGCAAAACUAUUCAGAGGAGACUAAGGGAGCAGCCUGACAUAAUAGCACCUUAUCCUUCCAGCUUGAUGUUCUUAGGGUGAUAUGUGCCUUCAUCCCAACCCCUUUAUAAAAAGCAAAUCUGAAGGCAUAUGCAGCACUAAAUGCAAUUUUUUCCCUCCUCAUAGUAUUUGGGGAGGAGGGAAAUGAAGAAAGGCUGGUGCUGGAAUAGAAAGGUCUGAUUUUGGAUCUUUUCUUUGGAAACAAGGAAUGGCUGGAUGUGGCCAUGCCAGGGUACCUGAAGUUUCAUUAAAAGCUCUCACAAGUCAGCACAGGACCCUUGUUAAAGAAGGUGGAGGUUCCUCUCUGUCUGCUGGAGCUGCUCAAAUCAUCUUCCAUGACAACAUCCCCUCACCUUGCAGGUCAGGAAUAUCCAGACAUAAAAAAAUCCUUCGGCCUGUCAAAAGCAGUCAGCUGGCUUUAAAGCCCAAAUGACUUUUUUUAUUUUAUUUUUUUUUUUAACAUUUCUCCUUUUAAUAGUAGCUGCCUGUCUGCUGCUGUCCUGAAUUUAAAACAAAAUAACCAGCCUCCAGCAACCUUCAGAACAGAUCUGUAAAACUCUCCAACUGACUCUAACAAGCAAAGGCAAGACUGUGACAAACCUGCCAGCUUUCUCUUCAUGGGCUGGAUCAUCUUCAGGGAGCCCAGGACUGGUGUUUAAAAAUGUAGCCUUUGAACAGAUCCUUUAUUUUGUGAUUAAACUGGUCCCCAGGACACCGGGGAGGUGACAGCAACAGAUGCUGUGAUGAGUCAGUGCAGAAAAGGUCGUGGGAUGGACGUGGGGUCAGUGAAAGGCUGCAGUUACUGGACUGUAACUCAGCCAAAGAGGUUUGGGUUUUGUCUUUGAGGAAGAAAUGAGGCCAGUAUGGAAGGAAUGAUUUAUUUGUCUCUAUUUUUCUUGUCAGGGUCCCAGUUAGAUGACUUGGCUUGAAGUUUGAGCAAAGAGUAGUCACUAGAUUUAUCUGCAUCUCUAGAAUCAUGGGCUUCUUUCUCUGGGCUGUCUUGUAUUACAAAUGUAACCAACUUCCCCCCCUGUAUUUUUGUUCUCCCUUGCCUGAACAGAUGGGUUCCCUUCCUUCACUAUUGUGAGCAGAGGCAGAUGCAAAUAAAUAGGCACUUGUGCUCUGUUGUGUGGUUACCUAGAGAGGCUGUUGUUUGCAAACAAAGGCUGUACCAGGACACAGACAACCUCGUUUGGUGUAGCCUGGAGAUGGCUCUUCAUUACAAGUACAGCCCCGGGUUCUCCACGCUGCACUUCCACAUUUACCACAGGAUCCUUCAGCAAGCAGGAGUGAUGGAGCACUGUGAGAUGCUGACUCCUCAGAAGAAAGGAGGAGCAAACGCCUCCUCUCCCCUCCCAGUCCAGCAAGCUGUUGUUCCUUGAGAUGUUUGAAUAAAGGAAAAACACGGCUCUGGAGCUUGUAACUGCUCACACCCACACAAAUACAACAUCCAGCCUUCUCCCCUGUCCCGUGAGCAGACCCUGACAGUUGAUACAAAUUCCCUUGCACCACAAACAUGAGCUUCCCCUGGUUUUACAGGGGAUGGAUAGUUUUGGGAAUUUCCACCUGGACCACACAGAAGUACUUGACUGGAGCUGCCAGCUCUCAAAGCCAAGUCCAGCCUUGCAUCUGACUAAGAGGGCACCUGCAAAGAUGCUGGAUUGGAGAUGCAUCCCUGCCACUCACCUGUGAACCUCCUGGGAGCAGAGCUUAUCCCAAAGGCCAUGGCUGGUCCCACUCCAGGGACAGGCAUCACGGUGGCAUGGAUGAGAUACUUCAGUCCUUGUUAAAAACACAGAGAUCAUGAAAGCUUUCUGCUGAUGCUUGUGGUUGUUCAGGCCAUGUUUAAAACAAGAUGUUGGAAUCCAGAACUGGGCUGCAUAAAUGAAAACUGAGCCUCAGCGCAGGAAUGGUGGAACAUGGCUGUGUGGUCACAGCAGCCCUUCAGCCCUAGGAGUGUAAUCAAGAUGUAGGAUUGCAAGGAGAUUUGGGACUGGUACAGAGGCAGGCUGAAAAGCACAGAAGAACACUUGAGAAGAAGCACCUGAACAGCUACACCUCUGUUGAACACAAGGAUUUAAGCACAGGACACAAUCAGAGAGUGAUGUAGCUUUGUGUUUUUGAGCAGUGUUCUCUCCUGAGGAGAAGGUCUGGCCUCCCUUGGUUACCAUGUGAGCCUCAGGUCUCACUCCUCAGGCCUUUGUUUUUCCUGCCAGGGUCUCUGCAAGGAUUUUGAUGGUCACUCCCACUAGGUGAGAGAGUACUAACCUACCUGGGUAUUUAUUUGAAGAGAUGAGCAGCAAUCCCUCCAGGAGGUAGCUGCUGCUCACACUGUGCCUAUAUAGAGUUUGGGGCAUCAGGUAAUUCUACCCAAGUCAAUUAAAAGUGUCCCAGGAAAAAAAUACAGCCAUGCUUUUCCAGGAAUAAAGCAGGCAAUUUGGAGCACAGGUGACAGCAGUGCUAUCCAUACAGGAGAGGAGAGAGUUCUGAAGGUGUUGGGCAGACUGGAGCAGCACUCAGCUUCUGCAGCACAGGGAGAAGACCAGCAGCAUAGGAUGCUACUCUUUUUACAGCCCCUAUUCUUCCCUUAAUUACAAGCUUAAGUGACGGCUAAUAAAGA